UGACAAUAGCAGCAGAUAGUAUGCGGCUCAGUUAAUACUAAAAACAAUUGAUUUUAGUAAUUAGUGGACUAUGAGUGUGUGUUUGGCCAUCCAGAUUUCAUAACUACAACUGAUGUUCAAUUACAAGGGAUAUUAAUCAGUCUCCGUGGACUAUACACUGUGCCUAGUUUCAUCCUCAGAGACUGAUGUGUAAGCUUAAAGUAAAGACAUCAAAUCAAAGUAUCAGCCAUCAAGAGGAAGAACAUUCAAAAUCAUAUUGUGAUACACAAAUCAAGCAAGUCUAUGACCAGCAUUAUGAUACAGGCCAAGAAAAAGCUGGAUAUUUGAUUGGAAAGGUGGCACAAAAAAGAUGGGUUAUCACUAGGGAAACAAGCUCGGAAUA
Long non-coding RNA from Physella acuta, 382 nucleotides. RefSeq lists it as uncharacterized. Lineage: Eukaryota; Metazoa; Mollusca; Gastropoda; Physidae. The record is from RefSeq and is a predicted model, not a curated record.